UCGGCUUAGAGUUUGAUCAUGGCUCAGAUUGAACGCUGGCGGCAGGCUUAACACAUGCAAGUCGAACGGUAAAGUAGCUUGCUACUUACGAGUGGCGGACGGGUGAGUAACGUAUGGGAAUUUACCGAAUGGAGGGGGACAACAGUUGGAAACGGCUGCUAAUACCGCAUAACGUCGAGAGACCAAAGGGUUUCGACUUGCCAUUUGAUGAGCCCAUAUGAGAUUAGCUAGUUGGUGUGGUAAUGGCUCACCAAGGCGACGAUCUCUAGCUGGUUUGAGAGGAUGACCAGCCACACUGGGACUGAGACACGGCCCAGACUCCUACGGGAGGCAGCAGUGGGGAAUAUUGCACAAUGGGGGGAACCCUGAUGCAGCCAUGCCGCGUGUAUGAAGAAGGCCUUAGGGUUGUAAAGUACUUUCGGGGAGGAGGAAGGGUUUACGUAAUCGUGGACAUUGACGUUACUCCCA
This 468-nucleotide ribosomal RNA is filed under the name uncultured Enterobacteriaceae bacterium. RNAcentral's name for it is "bacterial SSU rRNA". It matches the Rfam family "Bacterial small subunit ribosomal RNA", at positions 1 to 483 of the family's 1533-position model. Lineage: Bacteria; Pseudomonadati; Pseudomonadota; Gammaproteobacteria; Enterobacterales; Enterobacteriaceae. The record is from RNAcentral.